This 444-nucleotide ribosomal RNA is filed under the name uncultured Acholeplasma sp. RNAcentral describes it as "bacterial SSU rRNA". It matches the Rfam family "Bacterial small subunit ribosomal RNA", at positions 933 to 1382 of the family's 1533-position model. The record is from RNAcentral. Lineage: Bacteria; Bacillati; Mycoplasmatota; Mollicutes; Acholeplasmatales; Acholeplasmataceae.
UGGAUCAUGUUGUUUAAUUCGAUGAUACGCGAAGAACCUUACCAGGUCUUGACAUCCCAUGCAAAGCUAUAGAGAUAUAGUGGAGGUUAUCAUGGAGACAGGUGGUGCAUGGUUGUCGUCAGCUCGUGUCGUGAGAUGUUGGGUUAAGUCCCGCAACGAGCGCAACCCCUAUUGCUAGUUACCAUCAUUAAGUUGGGGACUCUAGCGAGACUGCCAGUGAUAAACUGGAGGAAGGUGGAGAUGACGUCAAAUCAUCAUGCCCCUUAUGACCUGGGCUACAAACGUGAUACAAUGGCUGAAACAAAGGGCAGCGAAGCAGUGAUGUGAAGCGAAACCCAAAAAAGCAGUCUCAGUUCGGAUUGAAGUCUGCAACUCGACUUCAUGAAGUCGGAAUCGCUAGUAAUCGCGAAUCAGAACGUCGCGGUGAAUACGUUCUCGGGGUUU